This 22-nucleotide non-coding RNA is filed under the name Arabidopsis thaliana (thale cress). The record is from RNAcentral. Lineage: Eukaryota; Viridiplantae; Streptophyta; Magnoliopsida; Brassicales; Brassicaceae.
UCUUGAGAAGUGCAAUAUUCAG